RNAcentral lists this ribosomal RNA (465 nucleotides) under Vreelandella stevensii. Its description in RNAcentral is "partial 16S ribosomal RNA". It matches the Rfam family "Bacterial small subunit ribosomal RNA", at positions 338 to 795 of the family's 1533-position model. Lineage: Bacteria; Pseudomonadati; Pseudomonadota; Gammaproteobacteria; Oceanospirillales; Halomonadaceae. The record is from RNAcentral.
CCUACGGGGGGCAGCAGUGGGGAAUAUUGGACAAUGGGGGCAACCCUGAUCCAGCCAUGCCGCGUGUGUGAAGAAGGCCCUCGGGUUGUAAAGCACUUUCAGUGAGGAAGAACGCCUGGUGGUUAAUACCCAUCAGGAAAGACAUCACUCACGGAAGAAGCACCGGCUAACUCCGUGCCAGCAGCCGCGGUAAUACGGAGGGUGCGAGCGUUAAUCGGAAUUACUGGGCGUAAAGCGCGCGUAGGUGGCUUGAUAAGCCGGUUGUGAAAGCCCCGGGCUCAACCUGGGAACGGCAUCCGGAACUGUCAAGCUAGAGUGCAGGAGAGGAAGGUAGAAUUCCCGGUGUAGCGGUGAAAUGCGUAGAGAUCGGGAGGAAUACCAGUGGCGAAGGCGGCCUUCUGGACUGACACUGACACUGAGGUGCGAAAGCGUGGGUAGCAAACAGGAUUAGAUACCCCGGUAGUC